Molecule: unclassified non-coding RNA, 598 nt
Filed under: Melitaea cinxia (Glanville fritillary)
Lineage: Eukaryota; Metazoa; Arthropoda; Insecta; Lepidoptera; Nymphalidae
Description: misc RNA ENSMCXG00005005148.1
Source: RNAcentral
AAAGGGAGGAUCCUCCAACCAGACGGGUAUUGUGUCUGGCGGGCUAACGCCCCCAACGGUUGUUGUCGGGAUCUUGUAUAUAUACUUAUUCACUUUGAAAACUCUGAUAGCGCGAUGUAGCAUACGUCAGUUUUUCUCUAAUUACGUAGUUUGUAGUCGUUCGUAUUUCGCGCGAUAGAUGUCGCUACAUCACUCCCCUCCGAGACCGGAGGUCGAUAGCAGGUUGAGUCGUCCAUAGAUCUUCUGAUGCUUGCCGGGCCAGUGAUGUUCCAGUGAGUCGGAACCAGAUGCCGCAUAGUUCACGGUGAGUCGGAACUGUCUGCGGUGAUGCUGCAUAUGCUCCAGUGAGUCGGAGUGGUGCAGUGCUGCGUAGUGGCUACUGCUGCGUCGACCAGGAGAGAAGUGCGUCUCUGCUUUGUGACCGGCCGAAGUGCAGUCUGCUGUGCCAAAGUCGCUGAGAAGGCUGUGGGCGAUGACCAGGAAUGCGCGUCCGCUGCAUGCUGGUGGUCAGGAUACCCGUAGUAGCCGUAGAUGCUGGCUGGCUGAAACCGUAGAUGCUGGAUGCUACUCGCUGCUCGAAAGCUUGAGGAAGUGAUGA